UCUAACAUUCCCAUGAGGACACUGGGGACUUUUUAGCUGAAGUCUGAGUGAGCAAAAGGAAUAAAUGUGGUCUUGGGAAUAUGCAAUUGCAAGCAGAUAUUUGAAGCAGAUUUUGGUAGCUUACCCAGGAAGAGUGCAGUAAUUUUAACAGCUAACAAUACUGAGAAAAUCUGAGUACCAUGCUGCUCAUCUUACCUCAAUGCAUAAUACAAAUCUUGUAGUUGUUCUCUUUGAGUGUGACUUCCUGACUGAUGAAGAGAGUACGUGCUUCUGCCAGUGCUUCCCAGGGAAUUCAGUCACCCUGCUCAUAUCAGUAGCUGUUCCUCAAAUGCUGUGGCAAAAUAGCAUUUACUGCUGAUCAAGUGAGAAGACAAGAAAGCUUGCUUUCUUUAAUGAGGUGAAUUUGCGUGCUACUAUUAUGUGGAUGCCUUUCCAGCCAGAUUAGCCUAUGUGGGGAACUGCACCACCGACUGCCCUCCGGUUUUACUAUAUUGGAUCAGAUUUUAAAUGAUGCUGUUGUGAUGAGUCAGUCCUUCAUCCUUUCAGACUGUCACUUUGCUUUUCCUCAGGUGAUUAUGUUGAAGUCUUCCCUGGGUUUGCUUGAUGAAGUGGGAUGGGGAUUAAUUUAUAUUCCUUAAGUAGUUGCAUGACUUACUUUUGGAAAAUCCUUGAAGGAUUUAACACACUAAGAAUUUAAAGGAGAGCAAUCACAGAGAAGCAUAAGAGGUUAAUUCUGAUUUGCCAGGCAGCAUCUGGCUUUUAUGAAGCAAAUGAGUGAAAGCAACAAUCGAGCACCAUGGAAACAUGGUUUCCGAGGGAUUACAACUCUUUGUAGUGCAAAGAUGUAUGUAAGAUCUAAUAUUUUGCCUUGGAAUUCUACAGCUCUUUCUUCUGGGAGUGCCUCUAUCCACUGAAAUCCAGGGAGAAGUGAGGAACUGGAGUGGUUUGUUCUUGUUUGUGAAUCCUGCCUGAGGUUUACUCCUAUUUAUCUUCGAAGCUUUGCUCAGUGAGCAACCUCUGGAUGCAUGUUCUGAUGUGAUAUGACCACUGUACAACACAGCCAGAGCAGCUCAUUCGAACUCCCGAAGUUGUUUCUCUACCUCCUCUGCAUAAGGAACAUUGAAUCUUCACCUAGCAUAUCACAAAGGGCGCUGAGCAGUGUUGCUCAGGAGUGUGGGAAAGAUGUUUCCAUGGCUAUGAAUUUCUCCUGUAAAGCAGUUUUCCACGGGGCAGCAGGGCGAGUAGCCAACAAUAUUAGAAUGGAUGACAGCACGGUUACAGUGCUCCCUAGGUAAAGAAAAACAAAGUGGAUUCCAGUCCCUGUACGUAACAUUGAUUGAAAUAAAAAUGGAGCAACUCUUAAAGGGAAGGUGGGGAAGACAGAAAGAGAGAGACUCCUUUCCCCUAUGGGCUAGUGACUUGUUAAUUUAGGAAGAGGAGUGAUUAAACAGAGGUCCAAACUUUCCACCCCAUGUUCUUUUUGCUUGGCUGAAUAAAAGGACCCUUGAUGUUUUGUCUUGCUGAGACAAAGUUUGUUUAGUCCAUUCCCUACCAAAGAGCAAAGAACAUAUCCUGCAUAUAGAGUUGGGGCAGUUGGCGUAGGAGGAAGAGAGGCCCAUGGCUAGGCUCAGGGGUCAUCUGCUCCAGAGGUUACUUCUACACUUAACAUGCAUUGCUGAAUUCUAUAGAAACAAACAGUUCUGUGUAUGGCUGGACCUUAAAGCCACCCACCACCCAGAAUUGUAUAUUGGCUUGUCAGCUUUCUGAUCAUCACUGUGAAGGAAUGGAUGUAGACAGCUUAAGGUGGGGGUUCCACUAAUAAGCUUAAACUUUGAGUGCUAGUGCUGCGAUAGACAGGCUUAAAUACUUUAUUUGUGAGUUACUCCUUCUCUUAAGGAGAGGUGCUGGGUCGUAAGUUGAGCACUGAAUGCUUGAAGGGAAUUUGAAUGCAAUUUUUGUGGCCAGGAUGGCCUUUAGAAGCUCUCUUUCCCCCAUCAAAUUACAUACCCAUGCCAGUUAAUUUGAAAAUAAGUUUAAUAUUCCAGACCACAAGUAACACUGAAACAUACCUACACAUUACAAACAAUUGUAAUGUACCCGCUGGUUCUGCAUUUGAUACUUGCUUUCUCUUUCACAGCUCAGUGUGAUAAUCUUGAUUCCUUGAGGGGAAAAAUAAAACUCUUUGAAGCUGUUUGAAAUGUUCUUAAUAGCUGAGACACUUAUGGUUCCUACUUACAGACUUUAUACUGGUUAAAUGAGUGGAUGUGUAUCUGCUACCUAUGGUAAGUAUGAACAGCAGUAUAGCUGCAGUUGCUGAUGCUGCAUAUGGAUUGUUCAGACUGAGGGUUCAGCCUAAAUGGAUCCAAGCUUUGGCAUUUUGGACAUAGUCAGGUAUCAACAAGGCACCCGCAGUAAUUCUUUAAUCACCUCUGCAUACUUUCUGGCUUGUUGUAAUCAAUGCAGUAGAGCUGCCCCGUCCUCCUCUGUCGUAGUGAUCGAGCAGGCUGUGAGCAAUGAAGCUGCUUUCUGAAUGCAGUGUCUCACAUUUUCGGCAGACAAGGAUUUCACAUUUUGGACACAUUUUUCCGGAAUGUGGUUGCCUUAAAGAACAGAUUUCCUCCCGUGCUGGCUUCAGCUUUUUGGAACCUUUCCUGUGUAAGCAUCUCUUCUUGUCUUCAAAGCUCUGACUCCUUCCCUGAGGGCUGGAACAGUCAGAGGAAAGAAAGGUGACAAGUUUAGCCUACGUAUGUCCUAUAUGAAUGACAUCAGCAGGAGCAGUUAGUGUUGAUUUAUGAAUCCUCACUGAGGUUCUGUGACACUCUAUGAGCAGGUGCAGUGUAUGAUCUCUUGCAGAAAACAGGAGUGGAUAGAAAAUGAAGAAAUCUAGCUCUGGUGUUAUGACGG
Molecule: long non-coding RNA, 2904 nt
Organism: Gallus gallus (chicken)
Lineage: Eukaryota; Metazoa; Chordata; Aves; Galliformes; Phasianidae
Source: Ensembl